Molecule: ribosomal RNA, 364 nt
Filed under: uncultured bacterium
Lineage: Bacteria
Description: partial 16S ribosomal RNA
Rfam family: Bacterial small subunit ribosomal RNA
Source: RNAcentral
CCUACGGGAGGCAGCAGUGGGGAAUAUUGGGCAAUGGGCGCAAGCCUGACCCAGCAACGCCGCGUGAAGGAAGAAGGCUUUCGGGUUGGAAACUUCUUUUAAGAGGGAAGAGCAGAAGACGGUACGUCGGGAAUAAGCCACGGCUAACUACGGGCCAGCAGCCGCGGUAAUACGUAGGUGGCAAGCGUUGUCCGGAUUUACUGGGUGUAAAGGGCGGGCAGCCGGGAAGACAAGUCAGAGGGGAAAUCCCGCGGCUCAACCGCGGAACUGCCUUUGAAACUGUUUUUCUUGAGUACCGGAGAGGUCAUCGGAAUUCCUUGUGUAGCGGUGAAAUGCUUAGAUAUCAGGAAGAACACCAGUUGCG